GAUUGCCUACGGGAGGUAGCAGUGGGGAAUAUUGCACAAUGGGCGCAAGCCUGAUGCAGCGACGCCGCGUACGGGAUGGAGGCCUUCGGGUUGUAAACCGCUUUUGUUCAAGGGCAAGGCACGGUCUUUGGCCGUGUUGAGUGGAUUGUUCGAAUAAGCACCGGCUAACUACGUGCCAGCAGCCGCGGUAAUACGUAGGGUGCAAGCGUUAUCCGGAUUUAUUGGGCGUAAAGGGCUCGUAGGCGGUUCGUCGCGUCCGGUGUGAAAGUCCAUCGUUUAAAGGUGGAUCUGGGAGUGGGACGAAG
This 305-nucleotide ribosomal RNA is filed under the name uncultured bacterium. Its description in RNAcentral is "bacterial SSU rRNA". It matches the Rfam family "Bacterial small subunit ribosomal RNA", at positions 333 to 641 of the family's 1533-position model. The record is from RNAcentral.